This 1433-nucleotide ribosomal RNA is filed under the name uncultured organism. RNAcentral describes it as "SSU rRNA". It matches the Rfam family "Bacterial small subunit ribosomal RNA". The record is from RNAcentral.
GCUUAACACAUGCAAGUCGAGGGGCAUCAGGAAGAAAGCUUGCUUUCUUUGCUGGCGACCGGCGCACGGGUGAGUAACACGUAUCCAACCUGCCCUUUACUCGGGGAUAGCCUUUCGAAAGAAAGAUUAAUACCCGAUGGCAUAAUGAUUCCGCAUGGUUUCAUUAUUAAAGGAUUCCGGUAAAGGAUGGGGAUGCGUUCCAUUAGGUUGUUGGUGAGGUAACGGCUCACCAAGCCUUCGAUGGAUAGGGGUUCUGAGAGGAAGGUCCCCCACAUUGGAACUGAGACACGGUCCAAACUCCUACGGGAGGCAGCAGUGAGGAAUAUUGGUCAAUGGGCGCUAGCCUGAACCAGCCAAGUAGCGUGAAGGAUGAAGGCUCUAUGGGUCGUAAACUUCUUUUAUAUAAGAAUAAAGUGCAGUAUGUAUACUGUUUUGUAUGUAUUAUAUGAAUAAGGAUCGGCUAACUCCGUGCCAGCAGCCGCGGUAAUACGGAGGAUCCGAGCGUUAUCCGGAUUUAUUGGGUUUAAAGGGAGCGUAGGUGGACUGGUAAGUCAGUUGUGAAAGUUUGCGGCUCAACCGUAAAAUUGCAGUUGAUACUGUCAGUCUUGAGUACAGUAGAGGUGGGCGGAAUUCGUGGUGUAGCGGUGAAAUGCUUAGAUAUCACGAAGAACUCCGAUUGCGAAGGCAGCUCACUGGACUGCAACUGACACUGAUGCUCGAAAGUGUGGGUAUCAAACAGGAUUAGAUACCCUGGUAGUCCACACAGUAAACGAUGAAUACUCGCUGUUUGCGAUAUACAGUAAGCGGCCAAGCGAAAGCAUUAAGUAUUCCACCUGGGGAGUACGCCGGCAACGGUGAAACUCAAAGGAAUUGACGGGGGCCCGCACAAGCGGAGGAACAUGUGGUUUAAUUCGAUGAUACGCGAGGAACCUUACCCGGGCUUAAAUUGCAGUGGAAUGAUGUGGAAACAUGUCAGUGAGCAAUCACCGCUGUGAAGGUGCUGCAUGGUUGUCGUCAGCUCGUGCCGUGAGGUGUCGGCUUAAGUGCCAUAACGAGCGCAACCCUUAUCUUCAGUUACUAACAGGUCAUGCUGAGGACUCUGGAGAGACUGCCGUCGUAAGAUGUGAGGAAGGUGGGGAUGACGUCAAAUCAGCACGGCCCUUACGUCCGGGGCUACACACGUGUUACAAUGGGGGGUACAGAAGGCAGCUAGCGGGUGACCGUAUGCUAAUCCCAAAAUCCUCUCUCAGUUCGGAUCGAAGUCUGCAACCCGACUUCGUGAAGCUGGAUUCGCUAGUAAUCGCGCAUCAGCCACGGCGCGGUGAAUACGUUCCCGGGCCUUGUACACACCGCCCGUCAAGCCAUGGGAGCCGGGGGUACCUGAAGUACGUAACCGCAAGGAUCGUCCUAGGGUAAAACUGGUGACUGGGGCU